This 450-nucleotide ribosomal RNA is filed under the name uncultured Glomeromycotina. Its description in RNAcentral is "SSU rRNA". It matches the Rfam family "Eukaryotic small subunit ribosomal RNA", at positions 569 to 1023 of the family's 1831-position model. The record is from RNAcentral. Lineage: Eukaryota; Fungi; Glomeromycota.
AGCAGCCGCGGUAAUUCCAGCUCCAAUAGCGUAUAUUAAAGUUGUUGCAGUUAAAAAGCUCGUAGUUGAAUUUCGGGAUCAGUACGCUGGUCGUGCCUUUGGUAUGUACUGGUGUCACUGAUUCCUCCCUUCAGAAGAACCGUUAUGCCAUUUAUUUGGUGUGGCGGGGAAUCAGGACUGUUACUUUGAAAAAAUUAGAGUGUUUAAAGCAGGCUCGCGCUUGAAUACAUUAGCAUGGAAUAAUGAAAUAGGACGUUUGAUCCUAUUUUGUUGGUUUCUAGGAUCGACGUAAUGAUUAAUAGGGAUAGUUGGGGGCAUUAGUAUUCAAUUGUCAGAGGUGAAAUUCUUGGAUUUAUUGAAGACUAACUACUGCGAAAGCAUUUGCCAAGGAUGUUUUCAUUAAUCAAGGACGAAAGUUAGGGGAUCGAAGACGAUCAGAUACCGUCGUAG